GGGUUAAGUCCGCAACGAGCGCAACCCUUGUCUUUAAUUGCCAUCAUUCAGUUGGGCACUUUAAAGAGACUGCCGGUGUUAAACCGGAGGAAGGUGGGGAUGACGUCAAGUCCUCAUGGCCUUUAUGCCCAGGGCUACACACGUGCUACAAUGGGUGGUACAAAGAGAUGCAAUCUCGCAAGAGCAAGCAAACCUCAAAAAGCCAUCCUCAGUUCGGAUUGGAGUCUGCAACUCGACUCCAUGAAGUCGGAAUCGCUAGUAAUCGCGGAUCAGCACGCCGCGGUGAAUACGUUCCCGGGCCUU
RNAcentral lists this ribosomal RNA (303 nucleotides) under uncultured Syntrophus sp. RNAcentral describes it as "bacterial SSU rRNA". It matches the Rfam family "Bacterial small subunit ribosomal RNA", at positions 1077 to 1382 of the family's 1533-position model. The record is from RNAcentral. Lineage: Bacteria; Pseudomonadati; Thermodesulfobacteriota; Syntrophia; Syntrophales; Syntrophaceae.